AGGUGCUGACUUGUCAGCUUAAUUGGGAAUUCGGUGAAAAACCGAAGCUGUUUCCGCAACUGUAAAUGCAGAUGAAAUAAGAAAAAUACCACUGUUGACCAAACGUCGAUGGGAAGGUUCUUAGAGUAAAAUGAUGCAUGAGCCAGGAGACCAGCCUUUUCUUG
This 164-nucleotide non-coding RNA is filed under the name uncultured Psychrobacillus sp. The record is from RNAcentral. Lineage: Bacteria; Bacillati; Bacillota; Bacilli; Caryophanales; Bacillaceae.